GGGAGAGUGGUGGAAUGGUAGACACGUCAGACUUAAAAUCUGAUGGCUUCACGGCUGUGAGGGUUCAAGUCCCUCCUCUCCUA
Molecule: transfer RNA, 83 nt
Filed under: Aureoumbra lagunensis
Lineage: Eukaryota; Pelagophyceae; Sarcinochrysidales; Sarcinochrysidaceae
Description: tRNA-Leu
Rfam family: tRNA
About the family: Transfer RNA (tRNA) molecules are approximately 80 nucleotides in length. Their secondary structure includes four short double-helical elements and three loops (D, anti-codon, and T loops).
Source: RNAcentral